Molecule: ribosomal RNA, 502 nt
Filed under: uncultured bacterium
Lineage: Bacteria
Description: partial 16S ribosomal RNA
Rfam family: Bacterial small subunit ribosomal RNA
Source: RNAcentral
GACGAACGCUGGCGGCGUGUUUAACACAUGCAAGUCGAACGGUGAAGGGGUCUGCUUUUGUGGGCCCUGGAUGAGUGGCGAACGGGUGAGUAACACGUGAGUAACCUGCCCCCUUCUUCUGGAUAACCGCAUGAAAGUGUGGCUAAUACGGGAUAUUCUGGGUCUGUCGCAUGAUGGGUCUGGGAAAGAUUGCGCCUUUGGGUGUUUUUGGUGGGGGAUGGGCUCGCGGCCUAUCAGCUUGUUGGUGGGGUGAUGGCCUACCAAGGCGGUGACGGGUAGCCGGCCUGAGAGGGUGGACGGUCACACUGGGACUGAGACACGGCCCAGACUCCUACGGGAGGCAGCAGUGGGGAAUAUUGCACAAUGGGCGCAAGCCUGAUGCAGCGACGCCGCGUGAGGGAUGGAGGCCUUCGGGUUGUAAACCUCUUUCGCCAGUGAAGCAGGCCUGCUCCUUGUGGGUGGGUUGACGGUAGCUGGAUAAGAAGCGCCGGCUAACUACGUG